AGCACAUAUUUCACACUGCAUCAUGCAUUGUCAUUGGUGCAGCCUGUUUCAAGAAGAGAGCUCUGAAAUGGAGAAACACUGCAGCAACUUUCUCUUCUCUUCCAGAAUUAGUCCUUCCAUAUUAACAUGUUGUCUCAGAGCAAAAAAUACUAUACUGCUGAGGAAGUUGCAAGUAAUACAGAGGAAAAGGUAUUGGAAUGUGCCUUUUCUGGCUGUCAUCUAUCCAAGCAGCCAUCAUGCUGUCUCCAAAGACCAGUAGUAUCUGGGAUCUCCUUUCCCAGAAAGGCUGAUUAGCUCUCUCUCAGWGCCAAACCGAAGCUGCGUCCAUUCAGUUGCACCUACAGCACCAGCCCUCUCACAGAUAAGUUCUAAUGGACUAGUCUGACUGCGCAGUCACUUAUCACAUCGUGACCCCCAUUAUUAAUACACAGUGAGAUAUCACGCUGUCUCUCUACAUUAUUCGUUUGGUCUCCUAUCACAGGAAUGCGGCUACUUUGCUUUCAGAUGUGACCUGGCUCUGCACGCAGUUUAGUCAAAUUUGUAUAGUGCUACUUUGACAGGUGAGACCUGCAGGAUCUCACCUGUAAGACUAGUGAGUUCUGCAUAUGCCAGCUCAUGUGCAUCUGUGGCUUCGUUAAUUGCGAUUUGGGUAAACAAACCCUAGAUAAUUGUCUUAGACAGAAGUGGUCAUGUGCUGAUCAAGUUUAACAUGAGAGUAACCUCUCCUAAAGGCUCCAGAACUAGUUAAUUCAAAAAGGAGGAGAUUAUCAUUUACUCCAAAGCAUGUCUUUAUGUGAAACAUUACUUCAUAGGAUAUUCCUACUGGUCUUUAAGACUUAUCUGCAACUUUAACUUUCUUUUAGUAUUAUACACUAUCCCUCUCCUUCCCCCUCCGGUGAGGUACAUUGGUACUAUAGCCUUUCAAAGGCAUUUAUAACUUUAGGAAUUGAGAUUUUCAUUGUUUUAAAUUUUGAAAUACACUCUCUUCAGACAUAAAUGCCAUUAAGCAACUGAAUACUGUUACACAGCCUGUGGAUCACAAUGCUGCUCCUCUAAGCACACAGAAUCAGUUCCAACUAAAAUGUGUUGGGGUUUGAGGCACRUAUAUUUAUUUGGGAUCCCCAUGAUCUGUCCAUGUAUCCCAGCUCUUAAGCUCCAUUUAAGUGAUUGCAGCUCCUAUCUGCUUUAUCAGAGGGAAUGUGACAGAAGAGUAGCAGAAAGUCCUCCUUUUGCUGCCUGAGUAAGCAGGAAUAGUGACA
RNAcentral lists this long non-coding RNA (1259 nucleotides) under Dromaius novaehollandiae (emu). Its description in RNAcentral is "lncRNA (ENSDNVG00000019042.1)". The record is from RNAcentral. Lineage: Eukaryota; Metazoa; Chordata; Aves; Casuariiformes; Dromaiidae.